GCCCUGUCUGAGGUGUGACGAGUGUCUCUCACAGGAGAUUAACAUUUUAGAGUCCCCGCUUCCCUCCCGCCCGCUUCACAACCCCAACGCUCCAGAAUCCCACAGGAAAAACAAAAACGUUUCUCCAAUGGAUAAAAAGCUUUGACCUUUUAUCAGCUGCAGGAAAUGCAUUAGCCGCCUCAUAAUCCAAUUUAUAGCACCAUGCAAAGGAUGGGUCUGCAUGGCGGAUUGAGAGGGAAAGGAGCAGAGAAAAACACCUUGGUGAAAAAAUCUCAGACAAUUUGGUGUGAAGGAUGGGGUGCUAACUCUGCUUGCUGAUUGCUCCCGGGGAGACUGGUGUUAACUGUGCGCAGGGGCUGCGUUUGAUGUGGCCGGGAGCCCCACACUCUGACUAAGGGGAGCAGAAAAGGGACCCGCCUCGGACCUGGCAGGGAGCGUCAGUGACUGGACACUGAACAGACAAAAUAGGGAGGCUUAUGGAAACCCCCCAGUGCAGGAGCAGCCAUUGACAAACCCUCUGAACAACCACAAGCGUUGCAUCUCCCGCUCAAUUUAUGGGACCAUUGAGGGCCUGGACAACCAGCCCUUCACGCUGCCACGAAACGCCAUGAUGGAAACUACACACACAGUAUUGAACAUAACUUGCCAACAUCAUAACUGGAACUGAACAUCUUUUGUGCUGAAGAUUGAGGACAGCGUUGUAUGCUAGCAACAUACUGUUUGAAGAGGGAGUAGGGAGGAUGAGGGAGUGGAUACCAUGAUGAGAGAGUGGGGAGGUGGGUGAGAUAUUGUCAAUAUAAUUGCAUAAUGGAACUGUAUUUGAUUUGUAUGCCAUUGAGGACAACAGUGUCGAUGAGAUGGAAAAAUAUAUUCUUAUACCACCUGGUUGUUCUCCGAGUAACUCCAAGGCAUAGUGAUAGGUCUCCUCGACUAUGUCUCCCACCGGCUCCUCUGUCAGAAACAGCUUGAACCACUCUGUCUCAGAGUGAGAUGGCAAGGGGCUUUGCACUCCAGACUGGAACUCAUCAAAGCCAACAGCAGGGCCAAGAGGGCAGAAAUGGCUGGAGGCCUUCCAGCUACCGCAGAUCUAUGUACUUCACCCACUGUUGGUCUGCCUCCAUUGCCACCAGCAUCUUCAGAGGGACCUGGGACUUCAUUGGUGGGCAAUGGGUCCUCAGAUUCAGGGUUCUCAAUGGCCACAAGGUUGGGGAACAGCUCAUCAACUGUCACUGUCAGAAUCUUAUUUCUCACUGUCAUACUCAGAAUUGUCAGAAUUUACAAAAAUCUUCAGAAUUUCCAUAUUUGUGAGUUGUCUCCUUUUGAAAUACAUUGCUAAUGCUACAGCUUAUCCCACUAGCAACACACAUCAACAAAAAGAAUGAAUGGCUCCAAGUGAGUGUCAGGGGUGAUGUGAUUGACUGCCGGUCUGGUGAUACUGAUGAUUUGUCUCCACAUACGGUUUGUUUACAUAGCAGGUUAGGGUAGUUAACAUGGCAGGUUAGGAGAACUAAUACAGCAAGUUAGGUGUAUUAACAAUGGAGGUUAAGAUAAUUAGUUUUAGGUUAGGAAAAUAGUUAUGGGUUAGGCUUA
This is a long non-coding RNA of Oncorhynchus tshawytscha (Chinook salmon), 1590 nucleotides long. NCBI's taxonomy places the organism in Eukaryota, Metazoa, Chordata, Actinopteri, Salmoniformes, Salmonidae. The record is from Ensembl.